This 30-nucleotide non-coding RNA is filed under the name Mus musculus (house mouse). The record is from RNAcentral. Lineage: Eukaryota; Metazoa; Chordata; Mammalia; Rodentia; Muridae.
UGCCACGUUAUCUUAUCGUUAGCUUAUCAU